RNAcentral lists this ribosomal RNA (164 nucleotides) under Acrocomia aculeata. RNAcentral's name for it is "5.8S ribosomal RNA". It matches the Rfam family "5.8S ribosomal RNA". Rfam says of the family: 5.8S ribosomal RNA (5.8S rRNA) is a component of the large subunit of the eukaryotic ribosome. It is transcribed by RNA polymerase I as part of the 45S precursor that also contains 18S and 28S rRNA. Lineage: Eukaryota; Viridiplantae; Streptophyta; Magnoliopsida; Arecales; Arecaceae. The record is from RNAcentral.
CGAACGACUCUCAGCAAUGGAUAUCUCGGUUCUUGCAUCGAUGAAGAAUGUAGCGAAAUGCGAUACCUGGUGUGAAUUGUAGAAUCUCGCGAACCACCGAGUCUUUGAAUGCAAGUUGCGCUCGAGGCCACCCGGUCGAGGGCACGCCUGCCUGGGCAUCACGC